AAGUCGUAACAAGGUUUCCGUAGGUGAACCUGCGGAAGGAUCAUUAAAGAAUAUGGCUCCGGCCUUUUUCUUAACCCUUGAAUACUAUCCUGUUGCUUCGGUGCUGCGGCACCGGCGCCACACAACUCUUAAAACUCAUGUCUGACAAAUGAAAAUAAAAUCAAAACUUUCAACAACGGAUCUCUUGGUUCCC
RNAcentral lists this unclassified non-coding RNA (193 nucleotides) under Ascomycota sp. RNAcentral describes it as "partial contains small subunit ribosomal RNA, internal transcribed spacer 1, and 5.8S ribosomal RNA". The stretch from base 1 to 46 matches the Rfam family "Eukaryotic small subunit ribosomal RNA", at positions 1786 to 1831 of the family's 1831-position model. Lineage: Eukaryota; Fungi; Ascomycota. RNAcentral also lists the same sequence under 1 other name. The record is from RNAcentral.